Molecule: ribosomal RNA, 460 nt
Filed under: uncultured bacterium
Lineage: Bacteria
Description: partial 16S ribosomal RNA
Rfam family: Bacterial small subunit ribosomal RNA
Source: RNAcentral
CCUACGGGGGGCAGCAGUGAGGAAUAUUGGUCAAUGGCCGCAAGGCUGAACCAGCCAAGUCGCGUGAAGGAAGACGGCCCUAUGGGUUGUAAACUUCUUUUAUAGGGGAAUAAAGGUAUCCACGUGUGGAUUUUUGCAUGUACCCUAUGAAUAAGCAUCGGCUAACUCCGUGCCAGCAGCCGCGGUAAUCCGGAGGAUGCGAGCGUUAUCCGGAUUUAUUGGGUUUAAAGGGUGCGUAGGGUGGUUGUUAAGUCAGCGGUGAAAGUUUGUGGCUCAACCAUAAAAUUGCCGUUGAAACUGGAAGACUUGAGUGUGUUUGAGGUAGGCGGAAUGCGUGGUGUAGCGGUGAAAUGCAUAGAUAUCACGCAGAACUCCGAUUGCGAAGGCAGCAUACUAAGCCACAACUGACACUGAAGCACGAAAGCGUGGGGAUCAAACAGGAUUAGAUACCCUGGUAGUC